This 427-nucleotide ribosomal RNA is filed under the name uncultured bacterium. RNAcentral's name for it is "partial 16S ribosomal RNA". It matches the Rfam family "Bacterial small subunit ribosomal RNA", at positions 355 to 774 of the family's 1533-position model. The record is from RNAcentral.
UGGGGAAUAUUGCACAAUGGGCGCAAGCCUGAUGCAGCCAUGCCGCGUGUAUGAAGAAGGCCUUCGGGUUGUAAAGUACUUUCAGCGGGGAGGAAGGCGAUAAGGUUAAUAACCUUGUCGAUUGACGUUACCCGCAGAAGAAGCACCGGCUAACUCCGUGCCAGCAGCCGCGGUAAUACGGAGGGUGCAAGCGUUAAUCGGAAUUACUGGGCGUAAAGCGCACGCAGGCGGUCUGUCAAGUCGGAUGUGAAAUCCCCGGGCUCAACCUGGGAACUGCAUUCGAAACUGGCAGGCUAGAGUCUUGUAGAGGGGGGUAGAAUUCCAGGUGUUGCGGUGAAAUGCGUAGAGAUCUGGAGGAAUACCGGUGGCGAAGGCGGCCCCCUGGACAAAGACUGACGCUCAGGUGCGAAAGCGUGGGGAGCAAACA